AAAGUGCACAAUUCAGCCAGGUGUGGUGACUCACGCCUGUAUUCCCAGUACUUUGGGGGGCCGAGGUGGGCGGUCACCUGAGGUCACAGAGACCUGUAAUCCCAGCUACUCGGGAGGCCAAGGCAUGAGAAUUGCUUGAACCCAGGAGGUGGAGGUUGCAUUGAGGCCAAGAUUGCGCCAUUGCACUCCAGCCUGGGCAACAGAGUAAGACUCCGUCUCAAAAAAAAAAAAAAAAGCAAGUGUUCCUCAGCACUGAGGGUUUUUAAUUUUUUAUAUGAAAAGUCUGUUGAAGGAUAUAUGUUAGAAGCUGUUGACUGAAAUUUUCAUUCUAGAUUAUUAGAUUAUGGUUUUGGAUUGCUUAUUGUCACUUUUUCAUAUUUUAGUCACCGCCCAGGAGCCUGUCUGCCUCCUGCUGCUGUUCAUGGUGCCCAGACUGUUCAUGCCAAGGGACACGUGCAGGCCAGCACUGGGCCGUCCUCAGCCUGCCUUGGCCCUCCUUCCGUGUUCGCUGGCGCCCAAAGGCUGGAAGGGGCCACUGUUAAAAGUCGGGUUAAGAUGUGGUCACUGGGCCUGAGGGAUGCUAAUUGCCUGCCUCCUUCGGGAUUGCCUUUCCCAGGUUCUGGUCAACGGGGUACGAGUCAAAGUGAUGUGGGUUCUCUUGCAGUAAUUUUAUCAUUUCUCUAUAGAUGUUGACAGUUUCUAAAGUCCUACCAGGCAUUUUUUCUAAGUGACCUUAUUUGGGAGGAAAAAGGAAUAUGUGUCAGAAGGGAAAAAAUGUAGUGGAACAGGAAGGAAAGGGAGGGAUACUAUUUUGCUACUCCAAAGUAAUUGAUAGAGGAUUCCUUUGGAGGGAGGAGUGGAGAGGGAAUUUUUGCAGUUGUUUUCCAUUCUACUGCUUUAAAUCAUUACCUUUCAUUUAAACUCAUUUAAAUGUCUACUUUUUUCUGAUGGAUUCCACUCUUUCUGGUCAAAAGUAUUGAGGGGAAUUUGAAAGACAAGUCAUCAGGUAGGCCUGGAUUUGAUCCCAACAAUAGUUACUGACUUCUAGAGCUAAAUCACAUGCAGAGAUCAUUAGAUAUAAGGUGGGAACCAGGAAUCUGCAUUUUAACAAAUUCCUGAAAUAAUUGUGUUCAUGCAGAUGGACCUUGAACCACAAUUCAAGACACACUGUUACAGAGAAACAACUCUUAGAGCUUUUAUUCUCACUGCAAUCUUUUACUUGAGGAUUUGGUUAAGAUCUAAAAUGACGUCUGAAAGACAGAUGCUUGCUGUGUUAGAAUCAUGUCUCCUAGUUCACUGCCUUUGGACCCAAGAUGUCCACCUUGAGUUCUGUUUCCUUAGCUUAGUGGUUCUUAACCCCAGCUGCACAUUAAGGUCCCCUAGGAUACUUUAAAAGAAAAUACCGGUGUCUGCACUUCACCUCCAGAAAUUCUGAUUUAAUUGCUCUGGAGUGGGGCCUAGAUGGCCUCAGUGAUGUUAAUGUGCUGCCAGGCUUGGGAGCAGCUGCCUUAAACUGAGUCUGACCCUAGAUGUUUCUUGGUCCUAUUGCAAAUCCUUGUGUCCUUUGCACCCAUCCAAGCCAAUGUGUCUUAAGGUUACAUAUAGUCAGACUCAAGCUGGAGCCCUUGUUGAAAUAUUAUGUAGUGGGGAUUAUUGUAGAGAAACACUUUGAUAGAAAUUGUAACAUAUGUAAUUUUUCAAGAAACUGAUAAGAUUAUUCACCACCCGUAGUCUACUCAGAGGCUACUCACCUGUAGCCAAGUGAGUUUAAUUCCCUUCAAAAUAGUCACUUUGGGGAUUGAGGCAAGUCUUUUUAAGGAUGCUUCAAUUUUUCAAAACCCAUUUGGCCUUUUCUCUGUUUUAGACGUUGC
This 1871-nucleotide long non-coding RNA is filed under the name Homo sapiens (human). RNAcentral describes it as "non-protein coding lnc-DDX1-3:1". Lineage: Eukaryota; Metazoa; Chordata; Mammalia; Primates; Hominidae. The record is from RNAcentral.